CCCCUAGAUGUUCUGGGCCGCACGCGCGCUACACUGAACAGUUCAACAAGUCUUAACCUUGGCCGAUAGGUCUGGGUAAUCUUUGAACGCUGUUCGUGAUUGGGGUGGACCUUUGCAAUUAUGGGUCUUCAACGAGGAAUUCCUAGUAAACGCAAGUCAUCAGCUUGCAUUGAUUACGUCCCUGCCCUUUGUACACACCGCCCGUCGCACCUACCGAUUGAAUGGUCCGGUGAAAUCUCGGGACGGCGGCUUGGUCGCUUGCGUCCGACUGCUGAAACUUGAUUAAACCAUAUCAUUUAGAGGAAGGUGAAGUCGUAACA
Molecule: ribosomal RNA, 320 nt
Filed under: uncultured eukaryote
Lineage: Eukaryota
Description: partial 18S ribosomal RNA
Rfam family: Eukaryotic small subunit ribosomal RNA
Source: RNAcentral